RNAcentral lists this signal recognition particle RNA (301 nucleotides) under Cebus imitator (Panamanian white-faced capuchin). Its description in RNAcentral is "Metazoan signal recognition particle RNA (ENSCCAG00000009293.1)". It matches the Rfam family "Metazoan signal recognition particle RNA". Rfam says of the family: The signal recognition particle (SRP) is a universally conserved ribonucleoprotein. It is involved in the co-translational targeting of proteins to membranes. The record is from RNAcentral. Lineage: Eukaryota; Metazoa; Chordata; Mammalia; Primates; Cebidae.
GCCCUAAAAAAAUGACAAAGUUUUGGGAGGCUGAGGCUGGAGGAUCACUUGAGUCUAGGAGUUCUGGGCUGUAGUGUGCUAUGCCAAUUGGUGUCUGCACUAAGUUUGGCAUCAAUAUGGUGACCUCCCGGCAGUGAGGGACCACCAGGGAGUGGGGGACCACCAGGUUGCCUAAAGAGGCGUGAACUGGCCUAGGUUGGAAACGGAGCAGGUCAAAACUCCCGUGAUGAUCAGAAGUGGGAUUGCGCCUGUGAAUAGCCACUGCACUCCAGCCUGGGCAACAUAGCAAGACCUCGUCUCU